UUAACACAUGCAAGUCGAGCGGUAACAUGGUUAGUAGCAAUACUAAUUGAUGACGAGCGGCGGACGGGUGAGUAACACGUAGGAACCGGCCCAGAAGCGGGGGACAACGAAGGGAAACUUUGGCUAAUACCGCGUAAUCUCGGGAGAGUAAAGCUGCCCGCAAGGGUGGCGCUUCUGGAGGGGCCUGCGUCCGAUUAGCUAGUUGGUGAGGUAAUGGCUCACCAAGGGUGGGAUCGGUAACUGGAUUGAGAGGACGACCGGCCACACUGGGACUGGGACACGGCCCAGACUCCUACGGGAGGCAGCAGUGGGGAAUCUUGGGCGAUGGGUGCAAGCCUGAUCCAGCAAUGCCGCGUGGGUGAAGAAGGCCUUCGGGUUGUAAAGCCCUGUAGGUUGGGAAGAAGUUCAGAGGCUGUAUAAACGUAUGGAUUGACGGUACCAACAGAAUAAGCACCGGCAAACUCUGUGCCAGCCGCCGCCGUAA
Molecule: ribosomal RNA, 484 nt
Filed under: uncultured bacterium
Lineage: Bacteria
Description: partial 16S ribosomal RNA
Rfam family: Bacterial small subunit ribosomal RNA
Source: RNAcentral